GGGUAAGUGGUGUGGUGGUUUGAGUGUUAGACUAUGACUCUGGGGACCAGAGUUCAAAUUCCAGCUCAGCCA
Molecule: non-coding RNA, 72 nt
Organism: Phrynosoma platyrhinos (Desert horned lizard)
Lineage: Eukaryota; Metazoa; Chordata; Lepidosauria; Squamata; Phrynosomatidae
Source: the annotation of a GenBank genome assembly